UUUAAGGUCUAAUCUGCCCUAUGAGGAGUUAAAUGGCCGCGGUACUUUGACCGUGCAAAGGUAGCAUAAUAAUUAGUUUUUUAAUUGAAAGCUGGAAUGAACGAUUGAACGAGAAAAUAGCUGUCUCAUUUUAAUUGUAAUAGAACUUUAUUUUUAAGUAAGAAAGCUUAAAUUUUUUUGAAAGACGAGAAGACCCUGUAGAGUUUUAUAGUUUAAUUUAUUUUAAUUUUUUUGGGAAUGUUUGUGUUAAUUUAAAUUAACUUAUUUUGUUGGGGCGAUAGAAAAAUUUGAUGAACUUUUUUUUUUGUUGUCAUUUAUAUAUGUUUAUUUGAUCCAUUGUUUAUGAUUAUAAGAUUAAAUUACCUUAGGGAUAACAGCGUAAUUUUUUUUUAAAGUUCUAAUCAAAAGAAAAAAUUGCGACCUCGAUGUUGGAUUAAAAUAAAUGUUUGGUGUAGGGGCUAAAUAAUUGGGUCUGUUCAACCUUUAAAAUUUUACA
Molecule: ribosomal RNA, 496 nt
Filed under: Pseudotrochalus sp. DA1661
Lineage: Eukaryota; Metazoa; Arthropoda; Insecta; Coleoptera; Scarabaeidae
Description: partial 16S large subunit ribosomal RNA
Rfam family: Bacterial large subunit ribosomal RNA
Source: RNAcentral